AACGUAGGACACAAGCGUUAUCCGGAGUUACUGGGCGUAAAGGGCGUGUAGGCGGACCUAUAAGUCUAUUCUGAAAGCUCCUGGCUAAACUGGGAGAGGCGAAUGGAGACUGUAGAUCUAGAGUGAGGAAGAGGAAAGUGGAAUUCCGCGUGUAGUGGUGAAAUGCGUAGAGAUGCGGAGGAACACCAGUGGCGAAAGCGACUUUCUGGUCCUUAACUGACGCUGAGGCGCGAAAGCAUGGGGAGCGAACGGGG
RNAcentral lists this ribosomal RNA (254 nucleotides) under uncultured bacterium. Its description in RNAcentral is "partial 16S ribosomal RNA". It matches the Rfam family "Bacterial small subunit ribosomal RNA", at positions 524 to 777 of the family's 1533-position model. The record is from RNAcentral.